CCCCCCCCCCACACACACACACACACGCACACACACACACAAACAAAGAGGCGUUAGGCUGAGACGCUGAAAGUCCGGAUUUAAAGUGCAGAAAAUGAAGCCAUUGAAUCUGCCUGUCCAUGACGUACAAAGACACACUAUGAGCCAGUAUGAUCCGACCAGACCUUACAUCAGCAUUGAGGAGUUGUCGGAGAAGAAAGAGGCUGAUUGAAGCGGGACAGAUGACAUGGAUCCAUCCUUCCACAGCCAGGAGUGCACCGACCUGUGUCCCACACUUCAUAUAAGACUGGAAGCUACACUGAUCUCACAGCUACACACCACAGACGUCUACACACUGGAGAAGAGUCCCACAAAGAAGUCAUGACCCAGAGGCUGCAGAGAAACAUUUCAAGCCUCAUCUGAGUUUUUGUACAAUAUUUUUGCUGUAUGUAAAUAAAGCUUUCACUCCACAUA
This is a long non-coding RNA of Limanda limanda (common dab), 453 nucleotides long. RefSeq lists it as uncharacterized. The record is from RefSeq and is a predicted model, not a curated record. The transcript has 3 exons. NCBI's taxonomy places the organism in Eukaryota, Metazoa, Chordata, Actinopteri, Pleuronectiformes, Pleuronectidae.